Molecule: long non-coding RNA, 615 nt
Filed under: Struthio camelus australis
Lineage: Eukaryota; Metazoa; Chordata; Aves; Struthioniformes; Struthionidae
Description: lncRNA (ENSSCUG00000004574.1)
Source: RNAcentral
CCGCCGAGGAGGGGCGAAGGCGUGGGUGGGCAGGCGCUGGCCCCGCCGCCAGCGCUGAUGCUGGCCGCCUGCCGUGCUGCCGCAGGGGAGGAGGCCCAGCUGGCACAGGAGAAGAUGGAGUCCCUGAGGAUGCGGUACCUCAUCGUGGGCCAGAGCAGCGCCGACACCAUGCAGGGACUGGAGCAGACCCUGGAGGCCUCGUCCCGCGUGGGCACCGCCCAGGAGGACCUGGCCCUUUGGCUGGGCCGCAUGGAGAAGGAGCUGGCCUCCUGGGACAGCCAGCAUGGCGACCACCAGGCGCUGGUGGUCAGCACAAGCGACAGAGAAAAGUUCGAGCAGAUCCUGGACUCUGAACUCUCCCACCUGGCUGGGCUCGGUGGGCGGCUAGAGGAGAUCAGCCAGGUGCAGCUGGAUGCACAGGCCCUCCGCACACAGCUCUCCGAUCAGAAGCUGCUCUCUGCUGAGAUCCUGCACCACCGGGGACUGGUGGAGCGUCUGCUGGGGAUCUCGGACCCGCUGCUCCAGUCCUGCCCCGAGCUCCUGCAGCAGCACCUCCAGGUGAGCAGCCGUCUGGGUGCUGGCGCUGCCCAGCCAGGGGCUCCCCACCCACCGGGG